Molecule: ribosomal RNA, 465 nt
Filed under: Vreelandella stevensii
Lineage: Bacteria; Pseudomonadati; Pseudomonadota; Gammaproteobacteria; Oceanospirillales; Halomonadaceae
Description: partial 16S ribosomal RNA
Rfam family: Bacterial small subunit ribosomal RNA
Source: RNAcentral
CCUACGGGUGGCUGCAGUGGGGAAUAUUGGACAAUGGGGGGAACCCUGAUCCAGCCAUGCCGCGUGUGUGAAGAAGGCCCUCGGGUUGUAAAGCACUUUCAGUGAGGAAGAACGCCUGGUGGUUAAUACCCAUCAGGAAAGACAUCACUCACAGAAGAAGCACCGGCUAACUCCGUGCCAGCAGCCGCGGUAAUACGGAGGGUGCGAGCGUUAAUCGGAAUUGCUGGGCGUAAAGCGCGCGUAGGUGGCUUGAUAAGCCGGUUGUGAAAGCCCCGGGCUCAACCUGGGAACGGCAUCCGGAACUGUCAAGCUAGAGUGCAGGAGAGGAAGGUAGAAUUCCCGGUGUAGCGGUGAAAUGCGUAGAGAUCGGGAGGAAUACCAGUGGCGAAGGCGGCCUUCUGGACUGACACUGACACUGAGGUGCGAAAGCGUGGGUAGCAAACAGGAUUAGAUACCCGUGUAGUC